Long non-coding RNA from Ornithodoros turicata, 955 nucleotides. RefSeq lists it as uncharacterized. The transcript has 3 exons. The record is from RefSeq and is a predicted model, not a curated record. Lineage: Eukaryota; Metazoa; Arthropoda; Arachnida; Ixodida; Argasidae.
UCGUCGUCCAUUUCCGUCGGCUGCUAUACACGUGCGUCUGACCUGGCCUUACUGCCCACCAUUACCACACAGACAUACUUUGUCCCUUUUGUGCUGGUCAAUCUCCCUUACUGGCUCACGUCCAUCAUCUCAUUGGUAGAAGAAGAAGAACAUAAGAACUCGCUCUACUGCUGUAGACCUAUUUGGACUGUUGUGGCCGAAAGAAACCAGCAGGAGCUAUCCCGACAAAGCUGUAGAACAUAGAACUAUGAUACGUUUCUCUAGUACCAUCCGGUUCCUCUGCUUCCUAUCCUCAUGAACCGCGAGGCAGUUUCCAGAUUUCAGAUCAGCAGAAGACACUGAUACGUACCAGGACCAAACUGAUUUCUCAAAUUACCCUGCAACAAAACCUGAAUACCCCUCCCUCAGCGGAAGUAAAGGAAGCCAGGGUCUCGUACAGCGACUCUGGUGUCUCCAAGACGAUGCCCUACAACCACCACCGGCAACAGGAACCACGCUCAACGUUUCACGAACAACUGCUGUCUUCUGGACCGCUCACCUGAAGACCAUCACUGUGACUCAAGCACACUGACACCAGAGUCCUAUGGAACAAGUACGGACAUUAAGUAAUAGCGCUAAGACCGCCUCGUUUGCUCCGCAGACAAUGGAGCAUAAGCGAAGUUUGUUCAACUGUCGCACGGUGAGCAGACGAUCAGUGUCAUUCAAAGACACACUAUCCGAUUCCGCACUUCGUCGUGGUCGUACUAGUGAGACUACGAUCCAACGUCCUCACAGUGACAGGCCUACUGACGGCGCAGAUGAUCACCCUUAAAUGGAGUCUCCUAUCAUAUAGUGGUCAUGCGUGAAGUGAGUUGAAGCCGAAGGGGAAGACUGUCUUGUACGAUGCUUACGGACUCGUUCGAUGUGUAACGGGAGGAACACUUGGAUAGUACGACAUGCAAUAAAGGAAAUUUGC